GACGAACGCUGGCGGCGUGCCUAAUACAUGCAAGUAGAACGCUGAAGAGAGGAGCUUGCUCUUCUUGGAUGAGUUGCGAACGGGUGAGUAACGCGUAGGUAACCUGCCUUGUAGCGGGGGAUAACUAUUGGAAACGAUAGCUAAUACCGCAUAACAAUGGAUGACACAUGUCAUUUAUUUGAAAGGGGCAAUUGCUCCACUACAAGAUGGACCUGCGUUGUAUUAGCUAGUAGGUGAGGUAAUGGCUCACCUAGGCGACGAUACAUAGCCGACCUGAGAGGGUGAUCGGCCACACUGGGGCUGAGACACGGCCCAGACUCCUACGGGAGGCAGCAGUAGGGAAUCUUCGGCAAUGGGGGCAACCCUGACCGAGCAACGCCGCGUGAGUGAAGAAGGUUUUCGGAUCGUAAAGCUCUGUUGUAAGUCAAGAACGGGUGUGAUAGUGGAAAGUUCACACUGUGACGGUAGCUUACCAGAAAGGGACGGCUAACUACGUG
This 497-nucleotide ribosomal RNA is filed under the name uncultured bacterium. RNAcentral describes it as "partial 16S ribosomal RNA". It matches the Rfam family "Bacterial small subunit ribosomal RNA", at positions 28 to 507 of the family's 1533-position model. The record is from RNAcentral.